GAUGAACGCUGGCGGCGUGCCUAAUACAUGCAAGUCGAGCGAACAGAUGAGGAGCUUGCUCCUCUGACGUUAGCGGCGGACGGGUGAGUAACACGUGGAUAACCUACCUAUAAGACUGGGGUAACUUCGGGAAACCGGAGCUAAUACCGGAUAAUAUAUUGAACCGCAUGGUUCAAUAGUGAAAGACGGUUUUGCUGUCACUUAUAGAUGGAUCCGCGCCGCAUUAGCUAGUUGGUAAGGUAACGGCUUACCAAGGCAACGAUGCGUAGCCGACCUGAGAGGGUGAUCGGCCACACUGGAACUGAGACACGGUCCAGACUCCUACGGGAGGCAGCAGUAGGGAAUCUUCCGCAAUGGGCGAAAGCCUGACGGAGCAACGCCGCGUGAGUGAUGAAGGUCUUCGGAUCGUAAAACUCCGUUAUUAGGGAAGAACAAAUGUGUAAGUAACUAUGCACGUCUUGACGGUACCUAAUCAGAAAGCCACGGCUAACUACGUG
This 497-nucleotide ribosomal RNA is filed under the name uncultured bacterium. RNAcentral describes it as "partial 16S ribosomal RNA". It matches the Rfam family "Bacterial small subunit ribosomal RNA", at positions 28 to 507 of the family's 1533-position model. The record is from RNAcentral.